GACGGCCUUCGGGUUGUAAACCUCUUUUAGUAGGGAAGAAGGGAGCUUGCUCUUGACGGUACCUGCAGAAAAAGCACCGGCUAACUACGUGCCAGCAGCCGCGGUAAUACGUAGGGUGCAAGCGUUGUCCGGAAUUAUUGGGCGUAAAGAGCUCGUAGGCGGUUUGUCGCGUCUGCUGUGAAAACCCGAGGCUCAACCUCGGGCCUGCAGUGGGUACGGGCAGACUAGAGUGCGGUAGGGGAGAAUGGAAUUCCUGGUGUAGCGGUGGAAUGCGCAGAUAUCAGGAGGAACACCGAUGGCGAAGGCAGUUCUCUGGGCCGUAACUGACGCUGAGGAGCGAAAGCGUGGGGAGCGAACAGGAUUAGAUACCCUGGUAGUCCACGCCGUAAACGUUGGGCGCUAGAUGUGGGGACCUUUCCACGGUUUCCGUGUCGCAGCUAACGCAUUAAGCGCCCCGCCUGGGGAGUACGGCCGCAAGGCUAAAACUCAAAGGAAUUGACGGGGGCCCGCACAAGCGGCGGAGCAUGCGGAUUAAUUCGAUGCAACGCGAAGAACCUUACCAAGGCUUGACAUAUACGAGAACGGGCCAUAAAUGGUCAACUCUU
This 605-nucleotide ribosomal RNA is filed under the name Leifsonia sp. So3Pw_2851. RNAcentral's name for it is "bacterial SSU rRNA". It matches the Rfam family "Bacterial small subunit ribosomal RNA", at positions 410 to 1018 of the family's 1533-position model. The record is from RNAcentral. Lineage: Bacteria; Bacillati; Actinomycetota; Actinomycetes; Micrococcales; Microbacteriaceae.